This 854-nucleotide long non-coding RNA is filed under the name Oryza brachyantha (malo sina). RNAcentral describes it as "long non-coding RNA (OBRA_LNC001794)". The record is from RNAcentral. Lineage: Eukaryota; Viridiplantae; Streptophyta; Magnoliopsida; Poales; Poaceae.
UUGUGACAGCGGAGAAAGGAGGGCAAUCCGGUCCCGCCACCAGCAGCCGCCGCCUCCUCUGCCGCCGCCUCAUCCUUCCUUCCUCUCUUCCCCGGCGCCAAUGGCCGCGUCGUGAGCGCAGCAGCUGGAGAAAGGAGCUGCCUUUUUUUUUUUUGCCUAGCCGGGAGGAAGGAAGGUCAGUCCAGUCGCCUACGCCGCAUUCCCGUUGCUGGUCUGUUCGUGUUCGUCUUUUCCUGCGUGUUGUUCGCUGGUGGAUUCCUGGUUUGGUUAGCGUUGUGCGGGAGAGGGCUGCGCAGCCGGUUUGGUUUCCCUGUUGCCGCUGGGGGAAUCGAGGGGAUUUUAGGAUCUCUUUGUUCUGGUUGGAUCUUGGAGAAACUUUUAAUUCGCCUUGUCUUCGCCCCCGCGAGAUUUGGGUCUUCUCCUCUGACGCGUCUUCUCUUUCGCUCCUUCGUCUGUACUCGGUCUGGUGGUCUACGGCCAUGGUGAAAAGUAGAUUUUGGUCUCGUUUUCUUUAUUUGGGCGGCUUGCUCGCCUGCUUUGACCAGCGGCUUCUCCCCGUUUCUUCCUCGUGAGCCGUGAGCCCUUGAUAUGAUUUGUAGCUAAUGAUUUUUACUACUAGCUUGGUUGGUAGGCAGGUUGGUUGGAUUGGAUAAGAGAUGCUGCUUCUUUUUUUUUUCGUUUUCUGAAAUUUGUGAUUUUCUGGUGUUGAUACUGUUGAGCUCGUGUUGAUUUAGGUUGCGAGCUUGGGAUCCGCUAUUCGCGCGCAUCUUUGGCGCGUAAAAUUUUUGUAAUCCGCACUUCGGAUGGCCGGUUCAAUCGCCGCCUCGGCGUUCUUGCCGGGGUCGCCGGCGCCG